CUACGGAGGGUCCAAGCGUUAUCCGGAUUCAUUGGGUUUAAAGGGUCCGCAGGCGGGAAAAUAAGUCAGUGGUGAAAGCCUACAGCUCAACUGUAGAACUGCCAUUGAUACUGUUUUUCUUGAGUAUGGAUGAAGUGGGCGGAAUAUAUCAUGUAGCGGUGAAAUGCAUAGAUAUGAUAUAGAACACCGAUUGCGAAGGCAGCUCACUAAACUAUUACUGACGCUCAGGGACGAAAGCGUGGGGAGCGAACAGGAUUAGAAACCCUAGUAGUCC
Molecule: ribosomal RNA, 274 nt
Filed under: uncultured bacterium
Lineage: Bacteria
Description: partial 16S ribosomal RNA
Rfam family: Bacterial small subunit ribosomal RNA
Source: RNAcentral